CAGAUAAUCAUAGAAGUAAAGUGUGUACUGAAAUAUAUACAUAUGAUUGUCUUAACUACAAUACUAGGUUUGGUCGAAUCGUCAUGUUUGAAAACACGCAGAAAGACAAAAAAAAAUCAAAAAUAAAUGAAAAAAGUGUGCUCAUAUCUUCUUUAAGAACUCUUUUCACUCAGAGGCGGAUUUAAGGGAGGGAGCAUCACCUCCACCUUCUUGAGAUGCUUCAUAUACUGUUGCAUUAUCUACACUUUUUACCUAUUUAAAUCCAAACUUUUUCUAGGUAGGGAAACCCCCAUCCUUUUUUUCAAAUCCUGGAUCUGCAUCUUU
RNAcentral lists this long non-coding RNA (324 nucleotides) under Mytilus galloprovincialis (Mediterranean mussel). Lineage: Eukaryota; Metazoa; Mollusca; Bivalvia; Mytilida; Mytilidae. The record is from RNAcentral.